Molecule: ribosomal RNA, 253 nt
Filed under: uncultured bacterium
Lineage: Bacteria
Description: partial 16S ribosomal RNA
Rfam family: Bacterial small subunit ribosomal RNA
Source: RNAcentral
UACGGAGGGGGCUAGCGUUGUUCGGAAUUAUUGGGCGUAAAGAGCUCGUAGGCGGUCUGUCGCGUCUGCUGUGAAAACUCAGGGCUUAACCCUGAGCUUGCAGUGGGUACGGGCAGACUAGAGUGCGGUAGGGGAGACUGGAAUUCCUGGUGUAGCGGUGAAAUGCGCAGAUAUCAGGAGGAACACCGGUGGCGAAGGCGGGUCUCUGGGCCGUAACUGACGCUGAGGAGCGAAAGCAUGGGGAGCGAACAGG